GCUGCCACCCGCGAACCGGUUCCGCGAAACAAAAACGUGGCUCCCCGGAGCACGACCCCUCCGGCCCGGCGGCGGGAGUGCGUCCGGGCGAGAGCGUCCGUUAUUAAACCCCUAGGGCGCGGCGAGCGCCAAGGAAUUUGAGCGGAGAGGGCGCCCGGCCCACCCGGCGCGAGCCCAUCCCGGCUGGCGUCGGCGUGCGGAAUGGCCGCCCGUAUGCGAAUCGCGUAGACGACUCUCGGCAACGGAUAUCUCGGCUCUCGCACCGAUGAAGAACGUAGCGAAAUGCGAUACUUGGUGUGAAUUGCAGAAUCCCGUGAACCAUCGAGUCUUUGAACGCAAGUUGCGCCCGAGGCCACCCGGCCGAGGGCACGUCUGCCUGGGCGUCACGCCACCCAUCGCCCCCCACCCCCGGCGUUCCACGCCCUGCGGGGCAGGGGGGGGCGGAGACUGGCCGCCCGUGCCCGAGUCCUCGGCGCGCGGCCGGCAGAAAUUGAGGACACCGUGCGGCGCGAUGCGGCGUGUGGGGGCUGAGAGGCGGAUCAUCGCCGAUCAUACGUCGUGCUGGCUUUCCGCUGCGCGCGGUGCCACCCGCGGGACCCGACUCGGACCGCGUCCCCACGUCAGGCGUGGCCACCCGCUG
This 640-nucleotide ribosomal RNA is filed under the name Mezilaurus navalium. RNAcentral describes it as "eukaryotic LSU rRNA". The stretch from base 231 to 386 matches the Rfam family "5.8S ribosomal RNA". Lineage: Eukaryota; Viridiplantae; Streptophyta; Magnoliopsida; Laurales; Lauraceae. The record is from RNAcentral.